UACAGAGGGGGCAAGCGUUGUUCGGAAUUACUGGGCGUAAAGGGCGCGUAGGCGGCCAACUAAGUCGGACGUGAAAUCCCCGGGCUCAACCCGGGAACUGCGUCCGAUACUGGAUGGCUUGAAUCCGGGAGAGGGAUGUGGAAUUCCAGGUGUAGCGGUGAAAUGCGCAGAUAUCAGGAGGAACACCGGUGGCGAAGGCGGGUCUCUGGGUAGUAACUGACGCUGAGGAACGAAAGCGUGGGUAGCGAACAGG
RNAcentral lists this ribosomal RNA (253 nucleotides) under uncultured bacterium. Its description in RNAcentral is "partial 16S ribosomal RNA". It matches the Rfam family "Bacterial small subunit ribosomal RNA", at positions 524 to 776 of the family's 1533-position model. The record is from RNAcentral.